This 21-nucleotide microRNA is filed under the name Drosophila pseudoobscura pseudoobscura. Its description in RNAcentral is "mir-2522a-RA". The record is from RNAcentral. Lineage: Eukaryota; Metazoa; Arthropoda; Insecta; Diptera; Drosophilidae.
AAAGCAGCGAUGUUCUUCGGC